CUCCUUUUCAGAAGAAUCCUCUAUGGAUAAGAUGGAUGACAUCCCAAGCAAAGGUGGGCUGCUUCAGGGAAUCAAUCACACCUGCAACCACAAGUGAUAUUAAGGCCAUGUACUGUGGUAUACAUAUGCUGUUCCAAAUGGACCUGUUUAUUAUCUGAGAGGUGUUGAGCAUGCACUUGAGCAGGAUCAAGGCAGUAGAGGAGGACAUUCAAAUAUGGUGCUUGGUUCAAGCUC
Molecule: non-coding RNA, 234 nt
Organism: Pelobates cultripes (western spadefoot toad)
Lineage: Eukaryota; Metazoa; Chordata; Amphibia; Anura; Pelobatidae
Source: the annotation of a GenBank genome assembly